UACGGAGGAUGCAAGCGUUAUCCGGAAUUAUUGGGCGUAAAGCGUCCGCAGGUGGCACUUCAAGUCUGCUGUCAAAGGUCGGGGCUUAACCCCGGAAAGGCAGUGGAAACUGAAGCGCUAGAGUGUCGUAGGGGUAGAGGGAAUUCCCGGUGUAGCGGUGAAAUGCGUAGAGAUCGGGAAGAACAUCGGUGGCGAAAGCGCUCUACUGGACGACAACUGACACUCAGGGACGAAAGCUAGGGGAGCGAAUGG
RNAcentral lists this ribosomal RNA (252 nucleotides) under uncultured bacterium. RNAcentral's name for it is "partial 16S ribosomal RNA". It matches the Rfam family "Bacterial small subunit ribosomal RNA", at positions 524 to 775 of the family's 1533-position model. The record is from RNAcentral.